UUCUAUGGACACUUUUGCAUUUAAGGGCUAUCUAUUCUUGCGUUUCACCAUCUUGCUAGAUGUUACUCUUAAAACUGUAGAUGACCGACUAAUAAUUUCCGUGGAGCAUUUAUCAUUAAUUGUGUCGUUAGUGCCAUAAUUAAGUGCAACAAUCUAGCAUAGUGUUUCUAUUUCUUGCUUCAAUAAUUUGCCUAGCGUGUUGAAAAUCAUUGGAAGCAAAGUGUUUGUUGGCCAACCAUGAAUCUACCAAUUUCUAACUACCAGUUUCUAGAAUUGUUGGUGCCGGUACGCAAUAUUACAUUGAGAACCCAGUGUCUGUAUUGAUGUCCAGAUCAUCUUGGAAUGUGUGAAUUUGUAGGGAUAAUUUGAUAUAAAGCAUGCAAUUUUUCCAUAGGUUUUAAGUCUUUUUCCUCAUUUUAUAGAAGUUCCAAUCACUCUCGUUUAUCCUUCCUGGAGUUUUAUAUUUCAUGUUUUGAGUUAUCAACUUCAAUCAUAUGUACUCUUAAGCUUUUCUAUAAUAUGCUUGGUGCAGAUUGGAUUCCUUAUGAUUGACGAAGUUGGAUGAGCAAAUGAAGUGUUUGAGUAGAUGAAGCUUCAGCUGAAAGUUGCUCUUGCUUUUCUCAUUAGCUUAAUCUGGAUCCAGCAAGGUUUUUCUGAUGAACUUUCAGCUAAAUCAGGCAUCAACAAAUGGACAUGUACAUGUUCAGCAUCAUAUCAAGGAAAUCAGAGCUAUAUUAAAUCUAAUUGUUCUACAUCCUGUGAUUGCAGUCCGGAUGGUGGACAAAGUGGAGGUAUGUGGACAUGUACAUGUUCUUCCGAUGGGUUACCAAAAGUUGCAACUGGCAUUCAAGAUACUACCUGUUUUACAGCCUGCAACUGCACUUCUGGUUCUCUUACUGAUGUUCAAGAUACAAGAAAACAUUUUUCCAGCAAGAUAGUUUUGGUCAUCCUACUAUUAUGUGUCAUACUCACAACUCUUGCAUUUCUUGCUUCAAUAACAUGCUAUCUCUACCGAAAGGACAAGUGCCUUGUCCAGUCACCAGUAUUCUUGUCAGACAGGGAAAGGAGUUGCAAUAGUGCUACUAACUUAAUUAGUCACAGAGCAUCUUCAGUGUCAGAAACUAAAAUCAGGGUUGAUUCCCCCAUUAAUCCUAUAUCAGGGUGUUUUCGCAAGGCUUCUUUCUUGUGUAGGAGCAAAACAGAGAUUAUACAAGGAAAUUUAAUCCUUUUCACGUACUCUGAGCUGGAACAUGCAACCAAUAAGUUCUCCCAUUCUAAUCUAAUUGGACUUGGAGGAAGUAGUUAUGUAUAUCAUGGUCAGCUCAAGGAUGGUAGGACUGUGGCAGUUAAGCGGCUGAAAGCUCAAGGUGGUCCUGAUGCAGACUUCCUUUUUUCAACAGAGGUUGAGCUGUUAGCGAAGCUCCAUCACUGUCAUGUUGUGCCUUUGCUUGGCUACUGCUCGAAGUUCCAAGGGAAAUUUUCUGAGAGGUUGCUGGUAUUUGAAUACAUGCCUAAUGGUAACCUGAGGGACUGUCUGGAUGGGGUUUUAGGGGAAAAAAUGAACUGGCAAACUCGUGUUACUAUUGCAAUAGGAGCUGCAAGGGGUUUAGAAUAUCUUCAUGAAUCAGCUGCUCCAAGAAUUUUGCACAGAGAUGUCAAAUCAACCAAUAUUCUUAUGGAUGAAAACUGGAGGGCAAAAAUUACUGAUCUUGGUAUGGCUAAACGUUUAAGAGGUGAUGGAGUUCCCAGCAGUCCCAGUUCUCCUGCAAGAAUGCAGGGCACAUUUGGCUAUUUCGCACCAGAGUAUGCAAUGAUUGGAAGAGCCUCUCCUAUGUCAGAUGUUUUCAGUUUUGGGGUAGUUCUUCUUGAACUUAUCACUGGUCGGCAACCAAUCCAUAAAUCAACCAACAAAGGAGAAGAAAGCCUUGUCUUAUGGGCUACUCCUCUUCUCCAGGAUAGUGGGCUAGUAUUACUAGAGUUGCCUGAUCCACGCUUGAAAGGGAAUUUCCCAGAAGAAGAGUUGCAAAUAAUGGCUUACCUGGCAAAGGAGUGCCUGCUGUUGGAUCCUGAUGCUCGACCAAGCAUGGGUGAGGUGGUACAAAUCCUCUCAACUAUAGCACCAGAAAAAUCCAAAAGGAGAAACAUUCCUGUGAAUCUUUUUCAGAUGUCUUCAAUCCAGAGAAUGAAAACUGAGCUAUUCAAAGAAAAACCCGACAGUCGAGCUGAAGGUCCUGUUGAUGCAGAGGAGGUACUGAAGCCAGACAGGUCAAUUCAACAGUCAGCUUUAGAUGUAGAACACGACCAUUUUGUUGGAAGCAACAAUGUAGGGGCAGAUAAUAAUUCAAUCAAGUAUAUGGAGAGGUUAAUCCUUUUGACUUCAAAAGCUCAAAGUUUGCGUUCCUCGGAUGAUGAGGCUGUGGACUUAACUGAGCCUCGGCUAGAAUCAUUCUGCAUGGCUAAUGUUAAAUCUCCAUGAAAAAGCUGCUCCCUAUGAAGGCAAAAAAUAUUUUUUUCAGUUGAAGGAGUGACCUGAAGAAAGGAUGUUGCAUAAUGUUCUACCAAUUAAUAUCUACCAUCUAACUUCUACAAAGAGAGGAUACCAGUUAAUACCUCAGUAGUUGAAGUAUUGUCCGUCGUCUUAACUCACCAAUGGAUCCUCCUCCACCACCACCACCACCACCAUCUACUGUUCCACUGCUUGGUCCACCACACCAUGAAGGAGGAUGCUUGGAUUCAUGUUUAUGGUUUCUGUGCUGCUGCGGCCUUUUCUCAUGCUGCUGCCCUCCACUGUUUGAGCCUGUGCCACCUCCCCCCUAAAGCUGCAUUUCUUUAGUUAUAUUUGGUUCUUGAGAAGAAACUAGAAAACAUAGUUCAUUGACACUUUAUCUUCUGAUUUUUGGCCCAAAACUGCUGUGAUAACUUUAUUUUCUUUUGUAUCGCUUUUUUUUUUUUUUUGGUUUUAUGUGAUUCUCUGGCUGUGUUUAGCUGAUGAAUGUUGAGUUGCAACUCUGCCUGUAACAUAGCUUCUCCAAUUUGUGCUUUUUAGAGUUGGUGUGAAUAAUAUUUAUUGAGUUAAUUAUAACUUAGUCCAUAUAAUCUAUGGAGACUAA
Molecule: RNA transcript, 3110 nt
Organism: Populus trichocarpa (black cottonwood)
Lineage: Eukaryota; Viridiplantae; Streptophyta; Magnoliopsida; Malpighiales; Salicaceae
Gene name: receptor-like serine/threonine-protein kinase NCRK
Exons: 12
Source: RefSeq, a predicted model, not a curated record